AUUGAACGCUGGCGGCAGGCCUAACACAUGCAAGUCGAGCGGAUGAAGGGAGCUUGCUCCUGGAUUCAGCGGCGGACGGGUGAGUAAUGCCUAGGAAUCUGCCUGGUAGUGGGGGAUAACGUCCGGAAACGGGCGCUAAUACCGCAUACGUCCUGAGGGAGAAAGUGGGGGAUCUUCGGACCUCACGCUAUCAGAUGAGCCUAGGUCGGAUUAGGUAGUUGGUGGGGUAAAGGCCUACCAAGGCGACGAUCCGUAACUGGUCUGAGAGGAUGAGCAGUCACACUGGAACUGAGACACGGUCCAGACUCCUACGGGAGGCAGCAGUGGGGAAUAUUGGACAAUGGGCGAAAGCCUGAUCCAGCCAUGCCGCGUGUGUGAAGAAGGUCUUCGGAUUGUAAAGCACUUUAAGUUGGGAGGAAGGGCAGUAAGUUAAUACCUUGCUGUUUUGACGUUACCAACAGAAUAAGCACCGGCUAACUUCGUG
Molecule: ribosomal RNA, 484 nt
Filed under: uncultured bacterium
Lineage: Bacteria
Description: partial 16S ribosomal RNA
Rfam family: Bacterial small subunit ribosomal RNA
Source: RNAcentral